This 164-nucleotide ribosomal RNA is filed under the name uncultured bacterium. RNAcentral describes it as "partial 16S rRNA". It matches the Rfam family "Bacterial small subunit ribosomal RNA", at positions 355 to 511 of the family's 1533-position model. The record is from RNAcentral.
UAGGGAAUCUUCCACAAUGGGCGCAAGCCUGAUGGAGCAACACCGCGUGAGUGAAGAAGGGUUUCGGCUCGUAAAGCUCUGUUGUUAAAGAAGAACACGUAUGAGAGUAACUGUUCAUACGUUGACGGUAUUUAACCAGAAAGUCACGGCUAACUACAUGCCAG